This 401-nucleotide RNase P RNA is filed under the name Alphaproteobacteria bacterium. Its description in RNAcentral is "RNase P RNA component class A". It matches the Rfam family "Bacterial RNase P class A". From Rfam's summary of the family: Ribonuclease P (RNase P) is a ubiquitous endoribonuclease, found in archaea, bacteria and eukarya as well as chloroplasts and mitochondria. Its best characterised activity is the generation of mature 5'-ends of tRNAs by cleaving the 5'-leader elements of precursor-tRNAs. Lineage: Bacteria; Pseudomonadati; Pseudomonadota; Alphaproteobacteria. The record is from RNAcentral.
UCACGUCGUCGGGCGGCCGCGUCGGGAGCAAUCCCGCCGAGGAAAGUCCGGGCUCCACGGAACGCGGUGCCGGGUAACGCCCGGCGGUUCCGGUUUCGGCCGGGAUCAGGGACAGUGCCACAGAGAAGAGACCGCCGAUGGCGUCCUUCGGGACGGACAGGCAAGGGUGAAACGGUGCGGCAAGAGCGCACCGCGCGAUGGGCAACCAGAGCGGCACGGCAAACCCCACCGGGAGCAAGACCGAAUAGGGAUGGCGCGCGGGGCAGGCCCCGCAGGGCAGGAACCGGCCCGGCCAUCCGGGUUGGUUGCUGGAGGCGGCGGGCAACCGCCGUCCGAGAGGAAUGGUCGCCCAGGGGGCAUUCGCCCCUGGACAGAACCCGGCUUACAGACGGCGUGAUCGC